AGUCCCUGGCUAUUUAUAUCUCACAAAUAAGGCGAGCAGACAGCUAAUAUAGCCACGGGCCAGCAGAAACAGAGCAGCGCAGUUUAUUAACAAGCCUAGGUGGACGUGGCACUUGAUACAUCUUUGUGUGAAAGUAUUUUUAUCAUUUUCAUGUUCAAAAGGUCACAGAAGCCUUAAAUAGGAAAUUAAAUGGAAGUAGACCUUGCUGAAGAUAGCAGGAUCCCUCAGGCACUCGGAGGCUGUCAGCACCUUAAACAACAGUCGUGGUGAGAAGAAGUCGACUGUAACCACCAGGGACUCCAGUCUACACGGGGGAAAACAGCAGAGCCAUCUUUGCAAUAGCUGGGAAAGAUACUGAUCACUUCAGUCCAAGUUCACAUUCUCACAGCCAGCAGUGGAAGUUUGGGCAGAGCCUCACAGAACCAGGAGUCAGAUUCCUACUAAUCCAUGCUGCUUCCGGACUGCAUGAAGGGGAAGAAAGAGACAUUUCAAACAUGCAACAUUAAAUGGCCAAUUGAAGAAGCUGUCAUUGUCCUCCCCUUUCCCCGCCUGAGGUGAGCUCCCAUCAGCAGCAAGGGAAGAAACCCCAAGGAGCGCAAGAGGGGGCUCCCCCCUACCCGUCCCCAAACGCAAGAGGGGGCUCCCCCCUACCCGUCCCCACCACAAAAAGCACUAAAGAACCACUGGAGCAGGAGCUCCAUCACUCACCUACUUGAUCCUACACCUCAUGAAACCACUGCAAUCUCCAGGCCAGUCCUCAACAAAAUCAACACUUCUCUGCAGCCUCCAACAACAUCAGAAACACACAGCACACCACAUCCAGACUCAAUUAGACCAAUAACAGAGAAGCACACUUCCUGAACUCUCCACCUAACCCACGCCACUCACCAUGAAAUCAUUCAAGUCCAUAAACACCAUCACCAAUUAGACUCACGCAAUUCAAAAACUUGCCAAGAGAUUCCACUCACUUUCACUUCUCUACACCAAGCAGAUAAUUCUCUCAUCCAUUCCUCACAAGAUGCUCCAGCUCACUCAGCUCUGUUGCCAUCUGCUGGACUCUGCAUACAACUCUUAUCUUUACCUGAAAAAAGAAAAUCUAAGCACAAUAGUCCAGACAACUUCACCAAAGCAAAAUCCCAUUGCUCCCAUUUCACAGGGCACACUGCUGGCUCCACACUGACCACUAAGCCCUUAUUCUCCAGUCUCCCUUCCAGAGGACUGGCCCUUAACUCACACCACUACAUGCUGUUACUCCUCCCUACUUGCCCAACCCCAUACCUGCUCUCUUCGAAUUUCACCCUGUCCUGCCAAAUAGAAGCGCAGCCUUCCUCUGUCAACCACAUCUCCUGGCUUCAUGUCAUCAGCUCUCUUCCUGAGAGUGGACUCCCUCCAUCCACAUCA
Long non-coding RNA from Coturnix japonica (Japanese quail), 1401 nucleotides. RefSeq lists it as uncharacterized. The record is from RefSeq and is a predicted model, not a curated record. Lineage: Eukaryota; Metazoa; Chordata; Aves; Galliformes; Phasianidae.